RNAcentral lists this ribosomal RNA (254 nucleotides) under uncultured bacterium. RNAcentral describes it as "partial 16S ribosomal RNA". It matches the Rfam family "Bacterial small subunit ribosomal RNA", at positions 524 to 776 of the family's 1533-position model. The record is from RNAcentral.
UACGUAGGGGCCUAGCGUUGUCCGGAUUUAUUGGGCGUAAAGAGCUCGUAGGCGGUUUGUCGCGUCUGCCGUGAAAGUCCGGGGCUCAACUCCGGAUCUGCGGUGGGUACGGGCAGACUAGAGUGCAGUAGGGGAGACUGGAAUUCCUGGUGUAGCGGUGAAAUGCGCAGAUAUCAGGAGGAACACCGAUGGCGAAGGCAGGUCUCUGGGCUGUAACUGACGCUGGAGGAGCGAAAGCAUGGGGAGCGAACAGG